Molecule: ribosomal RNA, 888 nt
Filed under: Sphaerulina polyspora
Lineage: Eukaryota; Fungi; Ascomycota; Dothideomycetes; Mycosphaerellales; Mycosphaerellaceae
Description: eukaryotic LSU rRNA
Rfam family: Eukaryotic large subunit ribosomal RNA
Source: RNAcentral
UAAGCGGAGGAAAAGAAACCAACAGGGAUUGCUCUAGUAACGGCGAGUGAAGCAGCAAUAGCUCAAAUUUGAAAUCUGGCGUCUUCGACGUCCGAGUUGUAAUUUGUAGAGGAUGCUUCUGAGUGGCCACCGACCUAAGUUCCUUGGAACAGGACGUCAUAGAGGGUGAGAAUCCCGUAUGCGGUCGGAAAGGCGCUCUAUACGUAGCUCCUUCGACGAGUCGAGUUGUUUGGGAAUGCAGCUCUAAAUGGGAGGUAAAUUUCUUCUAAAGCUAAAUAUUGGCCAGAGACCGAUAGCGCACAAGUAGAGUGAUCGAAAGAUGAAAAGCACUUUGGAAAGAGAGUUAAAAAGCACGUGAAAUUGUUAAAAGGGAAGGGAUUGCAACCAGACUUGCUCGCGGUGUUCCGCCGGUCUUCUGACCGGUCUACUCGCCGCGUUGCAGGCCAGCAUCGUCUGGUGCCGCUGGAUAAGACUUGAGGAAUGUAGCUCCCUCGGGAGUGUUAUAGCCUCUUGUGAUGCAGCGAGCGCCGGGCGAGGUCCGCGCUUCGGCUAGGAUGCUGGCGUAAUGGUCGUAAUCCGCCCGUCUUGAAACACGGACCAAGGAGUCUAACAUCUAUGCGAGUGUUCGGGUGUCAAACCCCUACGCGUAAUGAAAGUGAACGGAGGUGAGAACCGCAAGGUGCAUCAUCGACCGAUCCUGAUGUCUUCGGAUGGAUUUGAGUAAGAGCAUAGCUGUUGGGACCCGAAAGAUGGUGAACUAUGCCUGAAUAGGGUGAAGCCAGAGGAAACUCUGGUGGAGGCUCGCAGCGGUUCUGACGUGCAAAUCGAUCGUCAAAUUUGGGUAUAGGGGCGAAAGACUAAUCGAACCAUCUAGUAGCUGGUUCCUGC